Molecule: ribosomal RNA, 424 nt
Filed under: uncultured Sutterella sp.
Lineage: Bacteria; Pseudomonadati; Pseudomonadota; Betaproteobacteria; Burkholderiales; Sutterellaceae
Description: bacterial SSU rRNA
Rfam family: Bacterial small subunit ribosomal RNA
Source: RNAcentral
CCUACGGGAGGCAGCAGUGGGGAAUAUUGCACAAUGGGGGAAACCCUGAUGCAGCAACGCCGCGUGAGUGAAGAAGUAUUUCGGUAUGUAAAGCUCUAUCAGCAGGGAAGAAAAUGACGGUACCUGACUAAGAAGCCCCGGCUAACUACGUGCCAGCAGCCGCGGUAAUACGUAGGGGGCAAGCGUUAUCCGGAUUUACUGGGUGUAAAGGGAGCGCAGGCGGUGCGGCAAGUCAGAUGUGAAAACCCGGGGCUCAACCCCGGGACUGCAUUUGAAACUGUCGGACUAGAGUGCCGGAGAGGUAAGUGGAAUUCCUAGUGUAGCGGUGAAAUGCGUAGAUAUUAGGAGGAACACCAGUGGCGAAGGCGGCUUACUGGACGGUAACUGACGCUGAGGCUCGAAAGCGUGGGGAGCAAACAGGAUU